UUAGGAAUCUUGGGCAAUGGGGGCAACCCUGACCCAGCCAUGCCGCGUGUGUGAAGAAGGCCUUCGGGUUGUAAAGCACUUUCAAGGGUGAAGAAAGGCCUGAGGUGAAUACCCUCGGGUGUUGACGUUAGCUCUAGAAGAAGUACCGGCUAACUCCGUGCCAGCAGCCGCGGUAAUACGGAGGGUACGAACGUUAAUCGGAAUUACUGGGCGUAAAGCGCACGUAGGCGGUUCGUUAAGUGGGAUGUGAAAUCCCCGGGCUCAACCUGGGAACUGCAUUCCAGACUGGCGAACUCGAGUCUGGUAGAGGGGGGUGGAAUUUCCUGUGUAGCGGUGAAAUGCGUAGAUAUAGGAAGGAACAUCAGUGGCGAAGGCGGCCCCCUGGACUAAGACUGACGCU
RNAcentral lists this ribosomal RNA (400 nucleotides) under uncultured bacterium. Its description in RNAcentral is "bacterial SSU rRNA". It matches the Rfam family "Bacterial small subunit ribosomal RNA", at positions 355 to 747 of the family's 1533-position model. The record is from RNAcentral.